RNAcentral lists this ribosomal RNA (497 nucleotides) under uncultured bacterium. Its description in RNAcentral is "partial 16S ribosomal RNA". It matches the Rfam family "Bacterial small subunit ribosomal RNA", at positions 28 to 507 of the family's 1533-position model. The record is from RNAcentral.
GAUGAACGCUGGCGGCGUGCCUAAUACAUGCAAGUCGAGCGAACAGACGAGGAGCUUGCUCCUCUGACGUUAGCGGCGGACGGGUGAGUAACACGUGGAUAACCUACCUAUAAGACUGGGAUAACUUCGGGAAACCGGAGCUAAUACCGGAUAAUAUAUUGAACCGCAUGGUUCAGUAGUGAAAGACGGUUUUGCUGUCACUUAUAGAUGGAUCCGCGCCGCAUUAGCUAGUUGGUAAGGUAACGGCUUACCAAGGCAACGAUGCGUAGCCGACCUGAGAGGGUGAUCGGCCACACUGGAACUGAGACACGGUCCAGACUCCUACGGGAGGCAGCAGUAGGGAAUCUUCCGCAAUGGGCGAAAGCUUGACGGAGCAACGCCGCGUGAGUGAUGAAGGUCUUCGGAUCGUAAAACUCUGUUAUUAGGGAAGAACAAAUGUGUAAGUAACUAUGCACGUCUUGACGGUACCUAAUCAGAAAGCUACGGCUAACUACGUG